CCUACGGGAGGCAGCAGUGGGGAAUAUUGCACAAUGGGGGGAACCCUGAUGCAGCGACGCCGCGUGAGUGAAGAAGUAUUUCGGUCUGUAAAGCUCUAUCAGUAGGGAAGAAAAUGACGGUACCUGACUAAGAAGCCCCGGCUAACCACGUGCCAGCAUCCGCGGUAAUACGUAGGGGGCAAGCAUUUACCGGAUGUACUUGGUGUAAAGGGAGCGUAGACGGCAGAGAAGGUCUGAAGUGAAAGCCCGCGGCCCAACUGCGGGACUGCUUUGGAAACUGCCCGGCUAGAGUGCUGGAGAGGUAAGCGGAAUUCCUAGUGUAGCGGUGAAAUGCGUAGAUAUUAGGCGGAACACCAGUGGCGAAGGCGGCUUACUGGACAGUAAUUGACGUUGAGGCUCGAAAGCGUGGGGAGCAAACAGGAUUAGAUACCCCUGUAGUC
Molecule: ribosomal RNA, 440 nt
Filed under: uncultured bacterium
Lineage: Bacteria
Description: partial 16S ribosomal RNA
Rfam family: Bacterial small subunit ribosomal RNA
Source: RNAcentral